This 525-nucleotide non-coding RNA is filed under the name Steinernema litorale. Lineage: Eukaryota; Metazoa; Nematoda; Chromadorea; Rhabditida; Steinernematidae. The record is from RNAcentral.
CUCACUUUUUUGCAUGUUAAUUGAAAAAAUUAACUGAUAUAUAAUAAUUUUUUAUUCCCCUAAGGUAAAAUCAGGAGGAUUAGAGAGUUUUGUGUUUAAUUUGUAAGAUUCAAUAAGCGAACUAUAAAGCCAGGUUAGAUGAAAUUAAAGAAAGCAGAAGUAAAGUAGUGUUUAAACUGUAAGGAUAUUGGCAGGCCCUUUACAAUAAAGAAGGGAGGUUGAGUAGUAAUUGAGAACCCACAUUUUCAACUUUUGUUUUAGGCGCAUGUAUGAUCGUUUAUUUUAUUCUUAACGAUUGUAAAUAAAAGUUAUUACCUAAAAAAACAGAUAAAUACCUGGUUUAUAAAAAAGUGUAAAUUUGACCUACAGUAGCCCAAACUUUUGGAUUCGACGCUGAGAGGUGUUGGUGAAAUUGUAAAAGACAGUAAACUCGUUCUUUAUGUACUUUUUUUUUUUUUAUUUAGGAGCGGUACAAAUCAUCCAUCAAUUGCCCACAGGGGAGUAAGUUGUAGUAAAGUAUAACCU